Molecule: transfer RNA, 72 nt
Filed under: Heterocephalus glaber (naked mole-rat)
Lineage: Eukaryota; Metazoa; Chordata; Mammalia; Rodentia; Bathyergidae
Rfam family: tRNA
About the family: Transfer RNA (tRNA) molecules are approximately 80 nucleotides in length. Their secondary structure includes four short double-helical elements and three loops (D, anti-codon, and T loops).
Source: Rfam by way of RNAcentral
AGGGGUGUGGUUCAGUGGUAGAGUACUUGCCUAGCAUGCAUGAGGUCCUGGAUUCAAUCCCCAGCAUUACCA